AAAAAGAAACAAAAUUUAAAUGUUAGAUCACUGCGAAGCGCCUCAAGCUACUGUUCUAGAUUAGCUUGUGAUCCGUUAUCAGUCAUGUAAAUAACAUGUAUUCAACUGAUUGGGGCUGCAGGAGGCCAUUUUAUACAGAGAUCCAUCAAACUGUGCUUCCUUUCCGACAGAAAUCUGUUAUCCAAAUCAGUUGUUGCGUGUUUCGAUUGCAUAAAGACGACAGUAAAAUGAAAUACUUCAAUAUUAUAAUCGACCACGCAGAGCUACCACUCCACCGAUGGGGAAUCUGUGAUGCCUUUUGUUUUUAUCAGAAUAGCGGCGGGGGGUCGUUUCGGGUCGCCUCUGCCGCAGCCGGUCGUUCUGGUCCGGGGUCGGACCGUAGCUCCCAUCAGGCCCCUGGUUCAGGGGUCAGGGGUGGGUCGGCUUGACUGCCUGAAACGCUUCCGCUCUGUAACAUAUCACGUGUAGAUACACACUGUAAAACACCAACCACACUGUACAGAAUGCCCCCUCUACAGGAGACCAUGUGUAUAGAAGAUUCAUUUCUAAUCUGAUUUCACCCAUUUUAAAUGGAGAGAGAUGGAUUUAUGAGAUACGAAUAAAUACGUGAAUAAUCCGUCACUGUCUUGGCUUUUGUGGGGAGGAGAGACGGUUUCACAGCACGACUUCUCUGUCAACUAGUUUUAACAAUCAAUACACUAUUUAAAAAAACACUCCAGAAGGACCCUUCUUUUUUUUGUCCAGAGGUAAAAGGUCAGGUGCUCUAGCACCUCCUAAUGUCCAGCUGUGCACAUCACUGGCUGGGACUCUGGUAGAUGUUUGAAACCCUAAAAUAAAUAUCAUUUUGUAGUUGUCAAUCUGUAACACAGAUUGUGUUACUAGCAUGUCAUUAAAAACCAUCACUGUUCACACAGAAAUGUUUGAGUGCAUUUUAGAAAGAAAAGCAGUAGUUCUGUUAAAAACUGUUGCAUUUUAUUUAAUUCAUUUUAGACUGAGAAGUAAAUCAAGCUUUAAAUAGUCAAGCUAUCAGCUCCAAUAGCUAGCCUUUUGUUACCUGCUGCAGUUUCAAAAUCUUCAAUGGAGUUAUUGUCAAUGCUUUUUAAUUUCUAAACUUUGAUCAUCUGGGGAAAUAUUUCCAAAGCAGAUGACGCUGUCUUGAAAGAAUGAGGAAAGUGUAGUACCCGUGUUUCACCAGCAGUGUGCAGCAAACAGAUGGAAGAACAGCAGUCAAAUCAUAGUUUUUAUUGUUUAUGAAUCACUUCAGACACAACUGGUAGACAUUUUAGAAGAUGAAAAUAAAACACUUUUGAGAACACUGUAAAUAUAAAAUGUUAACGGCAUUAGUUUUCUAGUUGUACUAUAAUGCCUCAUUUCUCUUAAGGGUUGCAUGUAGAAAAUUCAAGCUAGAUCUACUGUUUUUUUUCUUGUCUUUAUUGCUUUGAGUCCCAGUGAAGCAACUGACAUAUCCUAUUGGGAUUCUUCA
Poecilia latipinna (sailfin molly) is the source of this 1483-nucleotide long non-coding RNA. RefSeq lists it as uncharacterized. Lineage: Eukaryota; Metazoa; Chordata; Actinopteri; Cyprinodontiformes; Poeciliidae. The record is from RefSeq and is a predicted model, not a curated record. The transcript is spliced from 2 exons.